UUUCCGUAGGUGAACCUGCGGAAGGAUCAUUAUUGUAUAAUCGAGGUGCGAGGGCUGUCGCUGACCCGAAAGGUCGUGCACGCCCGAGUGCCCUCACACACAUCCCUCUCACCCCUAUGUGCACCACCGCGUGGGUCCCCCUUUGGCUUGUUCGGAGGGGGGCUUACGUUUUCACUCAAUCUUUGUAUGCAGUGUAGAAUGUAUUUUUUGUUUUUGCGAUCACGCAAUCAAUACAACUUUCAACAACGGAUCUCUUGGCUCUC
Molecule: unclassified non-coding RNA, 263 nt
Filed under: plant metagenome
Description: partial contains small subunit ribosomal RNA, internal transcribed spacer 1, and 5.8S ribosomal RNA
Source: RNAcentral